CGCCGGGGGGCGGGCGGAGGCGGCAGCGCGGCACGGCCACCGCCGGGCGCCUCGCCCUCCGCGCGCUUGGACUCGGCCCGGGAAAGUUCCCGCAGGACGGGGCGCGGGCUGCGCGCACGUGGGCGCCGCUGCAGGGACGCCCCGCGGGCGUCGGCGCCCAGGUGCCGCACCUGCCUGCCCGGGGCGCGCCCGCCGACGCGCGUCUCCGCCCUUGCCAGCCGCCGGAGCCCGGGCGUCCGGAAACCGCUUCCUUCUGUCCCGCCCCAGGACGCAGGCCGUCUUGCCACCCAAAACUUUUCUUUCUGGAAGGAAGGAAGUUGCAUUCAAGUGCUGUCACCUUAAGAUUACUUCAUCAGUGAGUAUAACAAAUAACUGGAUUCACUUCUUCUGGAUUCUCACUAUUGAUAUGCCUCUGGAAUUUCUGCGUGUUUUGGACAAAUCAAUGUUUCAGGUGGCGUUUGUCCAAAGUUGUCUGAAAAUAAAUACAGCAAUACGAGUUGGAUUUUCAUUCACUUCUUUUCAUUCGGAAAGAGCCUUGCCGCAUGUCCCCACGGUGGAUCCUCGUAACGUUCCCUCCAGACGAAGGCUGAGUCAUACGUGGAAGAAACACAAGGUGGAAGGAGGCUGAGUCCCUGAGUCACCGACCCACUAGAAACAUCCACAUGGGACUGUUAGGGCUGUGAUCUGUGCCAGCAGACCUGUUGACAGCCGUCUGAGACAUAUCAAGACCCCCUGGGUACACCUAGGUCAGAAUCCGUCCUUGCCUGCCACUGACUGUGGGACUUUGGGCGAUUAUUUAACCUUUCUGAGAUAUUAUUUCACCAUGAAAUGGAGAGAAUCAUAAGACUUACUUCAAUGAACUGCUGGUAAAUUUAAUGAGAUAAAACAUACGAAGCCCUCGGGUGAUGUGAACGCCUAGAAAAACAGAAGUAACUGCGAGCACUAUUGCAGGCUGAGUUCUGUGGUUUCAGGGGCAUCAGAUACAUGCUCUUAAUUUUUUUUUAAGUCAGAUCCACAUGGCACACCCACUUGCUCUCUGUGGGAUGUCCCCGUGCGAAGGAAGCCUGCACAGUCUUGUCCGACUGUGCCAGCCUCCCCAGAGGACUGGGCCGGGCUACGGAGGGUAGAGCACACCUACUAGGGAAUCUGUUUGUCUUGAGAACACUCCAGUUUGUAAGGAUGGUUUGAUCUCAUCUCAACACAUCAAUCGGCUGCAUAGGGUGGGGAAAGGGGGGAAGGGAAGCAUCACCUUUGUAAACUCCUGAUUUUAUUUUCUCCAUUCUUUUUGAGAGCUUCUUCAGGCAGAAAAACACCUCUUGCUCUUCUGGAUUCUGAGGUAGGAAUAGCAGAACGGCCCUCAGUGAGCUGCUUUGCACCAGGCUCUGCACACUGAGCCCUGGCCAGCCUGUGGGAUGGGGACUAUUUUAUCGCUCACCAGUUACUUAGAAGGAAACUUCACUCACACAUGCCCACAUACCUUGCCCAGGGUCACACGCUGGCGCGUCAGUGUCUGGUUUCAAUGCCGGUGGGUCUACUUUGGAGCCCAACUCUGAACUCCGCUGCUCUGCUACAGGGCUGUACAGUAGGAAGAUUUUGUGAGUCACAUAUGCAAUUUUAAAUUUUCUUGUAGUCUCAUUUUAAAAAGGAGAAAGAAACUCUGCAUUGAAUUUUAACCAUAUAUUUUAUCUAACCAAUUAUGUCUAAAAUGUUAGCAUUUCAAUAUGCAAUCAAUAUAAAAGCUUGAAUGAGAUAUUUUAUAUACUUUAUUUCAUACUUCGUCUUUGAAGUCGGUGUGUGUUCAACUUUCUGCCUGUCUCAGUUAGGAGCAGUGUCCUCUCCAGUGCUCCAUAGCCACAGGUGGCUGUGGCCUCCACGCUGGUGAGCGGCUCUCUGCCACACGCUCAGCAGAAGUUACUGGACUUUCUGUUUAUGGCUCCCUGUUGACAUAAUCUUUAUUAUUUUUGUUUUGGCCAUCUUCAAACCUGU
Molecule: long non-coding RNA, 1986 nt
Organism: Equus caballus (horse)
Lineage: Eukaryota; Metazoa; Chordata; Mammalia; Perissodactyla; Equidae
Source: Ensembl